RNAcentral lists this ribosomal RNA (642 nucleotides) under Triticum aestivum (bread wheat). RNAcentral describes it as "partial small subunit ribosomal RNA". Lineage: Eukaryota; Viridiplantae; Streptophyta; Magnoliopsida; Poales; Poaceae. The record is from RNAcentral.
UGGUGCAUCACAUCGUUUGUGAGAAGGAAUUUGAGGAUGGCUGGGCGUGUAUGCUUGAUAAGCAUGGGUUGCAAAAAAAACACAUUUCUCACCCAGAUUUAUGAGACCAGGAUGAAACGGGCUAAACCUUACUUCAUGAAUUUUUUCUGUGCCAAGAUGACUAGCACGCAGCGGAGCGAGAGUGCAAACCAUUUGCUCAAAGGGUACGUGCCGUCAGGAUCCCCGAUGCACUUCUUUGUUAGGCAAUAUGAGAAGAUGCAAUUUGAUAGAGAUUCAGAGGAGAGUUACCAGGAGAAAAGAACCAAGCUGGGUGGUGUUGUGCUGGCUCAGAACCUCCCCAUCGAGAUUCAUGCAUCGAAAAUUUACACACGGGCUAUGUUUGAAAAUUUUGGCGAGAUGCUAUAUGAGGGUGGGUCAUAUGUUCUGGUCGAAGUUGUCCCUUGUCGUGAAUACAUAGCAAGGCAUGUAAAAAAAGAUUCCCGAGACAAGUGGUGCAAAAAUGAAUUCCUCGUCCAGGUCAACGAGCUUGCUGAUGAAUUGAAAUGCGAAUGCGGGAUGUUUGAGCAUUUUGGCAUGGUCUGUAGUCAUGCACUAAAGGUGAUGAUCCAGCUUGGUCUGCAAGAGGUUCCGGCAAAACAUGUG